UUUACUUAUUAUACAUAUCAAUCAUUAUUGGCCUUAGUUCGUCUAUUGCAGAUGAUUUAGACAGUAUCAGACAGAUACUGUGUCGCCUAGGACACUCUUCAGGAAAACGCAGAAUUGCCUAAGCUCUGCGCCACCCUC
Melitaea cinxia (Glanville fritillary) is the source of this 138-nucleotide long non-coding RNA. RefSeq lists it as uncharacterized. The transcript is spliced from 3 exons. Lineage: Eukaryota; Metazoa; Arthropoda; Insecta; Lepidoptera; Nymphalidae. The record is from RefSeq and is a predicted model, not a curated record.